This 872-nucleotide long non-coding RNA is filed under the name Homo sapiens (human). RNAcentral's name for it is "HSALNT0384821". Lineage: Eukaryota; Metazoa; Chordata; Mammalia; Primates; Hominidae. The record is from RNAcentral.
AGGAGGCGGCGGAGGGCGGGGGAAGAGGACGGCCGUUCCGGGUUCCGCCUGAGCCCGCAGCGCAGGACGAGGAGGCGGGAGCGGCGCGCUCUGCAACCCAGAGAGUGACCUGCAUGGAGCGUGCCAGCUGAAUCCCUUGUCCUGUGUCUUCUGGCUGAGUUCUACCAUAGGAAACACCGCCACGUGGGAGAACAGGAAGACAUUGAUGUCUGGGUGCUUAUUCCUAAAGCUUCCUCCCUGAGGUCACCUGGAGGUUGCUGCAUCUCUCUACUGAAGGCCACAGUUCCUGUCAUAUGACUGUCUCCAUCCAGCUGCCUUCUCUAAGUUCCAGCAACCACUGUCUCUCUCCCUUGAUCUUUGAGCCUAAAGAGACAAGGUCUCCCUCUGUCACCCAGGCUAGGGUGCAGUGGCACAAUCACGGCUCAGGACCGGUGCAAGAAGGGAAGGUUGCAUUCAUAAGUUAGCAAACUUCAGAAAGCUCUUUGAAAAAAAAAAAAAAAAAAGAAUCUUAUUACCAUUUUGUUUUUGUAGAAAGCCCACUUGAUAAAAGUAUUAAUAACACACAUGAGAAAGAGCUCACAGUGUUUUCCAGAAAAAAACACUUUGAUUCUAUAAAAGAGGUCAGUAGACUACAAUAUGAAGAAUCCUUCUGUUGGCUUAACUUUUAGACUAUAUGACAAGUUCUCUGACUAUAAAGACACUGAUCAAAAGAACUCAGUUUAGCACAAUAUCCAAAGUCCAAAGUACAAGCAAUAAAAGAAGAAUCAGGUAAAUUAGACUACAUCAAAAUGUUAAACUUUUUGCCUCAAAGGACACCAUCAACAGGGUGAAAAGACAAAGCAUGGAAUGGGAGAAAAUAUUUGCAAAUCAUA